This 477-nucleotide ribosomal RNA is filed under the name Xanthomonas sp. oral taxon 037. Its description in RNAcentral is "bacterial SSU rRNA". It matches the Rfam family "Bacterial small subunit ribosomal RNA", at positions 29 to 494 of the family's 1533-position model. Lineage: Bacteria; Pseudomonadati; Pseudomonadota; Gammaproteobacteria; Lysobacterales; Lysobacteraceae. The record is from RNAcentral.
AGUGAACGCUGGCGGUAGGCCUAACACAUGCAAGUCGAACGGCAGCACAGGAGAGCUUGCUCUCUGGGUGGCGAGUGGCGGACGGGUGAGGAAUGCAUCGGAAUCUACUCUUUCGUGGGGGAUAACGUAGGGAAACUUACGCUAAUACCGCAUACGACCUACGGGUGAAAGCCGGGGACCUUCGGGCCUGGCGCGAAAGAAUGAGCCGAUGCCCGAUUAGCUAGUUGGCGGGGUAAGAGCCCACCAAGGCGACAAUCGGUAGCUGGUCUGAGAGGAUGAUCAGCCACACUGGAACUGAGACACGGUCCAGACUCCUACGGGAGGCAGCAGUGGGGAAUAUUGGACAAUGGGCGCAAGCCUGAUCCAGCCAUACCGCGUGGGUGAAGAAGGCCUUCGGGUUGUAAAGCCCUUUUGUUGGGAAAGAAAAGCAGUCGGUUAAUACCCGAUUGUUCUGACGGUACCCAAAGAAUAAGCACC